CAUUUUAAAUUGCAUGCACUUCAGCCUGACCACAAAUGUAGCAGAACUAUUCUAUCAGGAGUAAAGCAAUGGUCCGGAAAAUGCCACACGGAAGCAGCUGCAACAACAUCAGUGGUGGUGUCCCAGGAGGGAAGGACCAGCUUUUCAGCAGGAGGAUUCUUUAUAAGUAGAGAAGAACAAGACAGAAAAUAUUAGUCUUGAGGAAACACCCAGUGUUCAAAGACAACAGCUGCAUGCACACUGCUGCAACGUAUAGUAGAAGCUGUCAAAUGGUUUAUUCUGAGGAAAAUGAUUGUUCUGUGUAUCCAUUAAAAAUGUAAGAAGAAAGAUUUUCAAAUAUAUUUAUGAGUAACUCAUCA
Long non-coding RNA from Vidua chalybeata, 359 nucleotides. RefSeq lists it as uncharacterized. The transcript has 2 exons. NCBI's taxonomy places the organism in Eukaryota, Metazoa, Chordata, Aves, Passeriformes, Viduidae. The record is from RefSeq and is a predicted model, not a curated record.